CCCACCGCAUGGUUGUGGGCUUUGUCACCAUUACCGACUGCCUCUCGGCCAAGGCCUUCGAGAAGCUCCACGUGCAGAGGAGCUGUAUGGCAUCACGCUUAAUGACUCUCAGCUCUUUGUCUUUGUGCUGCAUGGGGAGGUAAGCCAAGCAGCCGCGCACCGACGUGGCCUUCAAUCUACGAGGACUGCAGGGUGGUGGAGAAGAGGAUCGAGGACUUCACUGAGUCACUCUUCAUCUUGCUCAAGUCCAAGUGGCUGGAUGGGGCCCCUGACAAGUCUGGGGACAAGAUCCUACUCCUCUACAUGCCGUUUGAGAAGGAGGACUUCAUAGGACUGGACACAGACAGCAGGGCCCUGUGAUCUACAUGCCCGCGCUCCCCAUCUGCUCCUUGGAAAUGAGGUGUCAGGUUUAGGAGCCUGGGCACUGCUGAGGUCACAGCUGCCAGCACCGUGCUACACCGAGGCUGGCUCCGUUCACCUCACAUGUCACCUCCUGCUGAUCCCCCAGGCGUCAGUCAAGUACGUUUUGGUUACUGAGACCCUCGAAUUCCCAUAUGAAUUGUAGCAGCAGCUAGUCAGUUACUGCAGAGGAGCCCACUGGGAUUGUGAUCGAGACCACGUUGAAUAUAUGGAUCGCUCUGUGGAGCACUGACAUUCCAAGAGCACUGUCAUCUGAUCCAGGAAUGUGCGUGGUGUGUCUGUCCAGGUGCCCUCACCUCCAGUGGCAUCCAUCCAGACACCAGCACUGACACUGGCCGUUCUCAGAACUGCCUCAGCCCUGAAGACACAACUGGCAAAUAGAAGGCGGCCACGCCCUGUUACAGCAGGUGCUCUCACUUUGUGGGUCCUUAUGUAACUGCGUGGUUUUAAUCAGGAUCGCCCGUUCUACAUUGUGUGGCGCUGCUGCCGUGUCUCCUAGUUAUUGUUUCUGGCCUGCAACAUGAGCAUCCCUGACUACGUGCAGUGUGCUGAGGAAUACGAGACUCUCCCCGUGGUCUUCCAACCCGUGGGGAUCAUUUCAGAGGACAAUUUCUUUUGCAUCUAUAAACGAAUCUCCUUGGUGAGCCAGAUCAGCCCGUGCGGCUCCCAGUGGGCACUCUGUAUCCACUACAGGCACCACUAUGCGUUCGAGAAUGCGUGGAGUGACUUCCAGACACACCGCACGGUCGUGGGCCUUGUCACCAUUACCGACUGCCUCUCUGCCAAGGCCUUCGAGAAGCUCCAUGUUCAGAGGAGCUUUAUGGCACCACGCUUAAUGACUCUCAGCUCUUUGUCUUUGUGCUGCAUGGGGAGGUAGCCGAGCAGCCACACACCAACGUGGCCUUCAAACUACGAGGACUGCCGGGUGGUGGAGAAGAGGAUCGAGGACUUCACUGAGUCACUGUUAAUCUUGCUCAAGUCCAAGUGGCUGGAUGGGACCCUGACAAGUCUGGGGAAAGGAUCCCCCUCCUCUGCACCUUGUUUGAGAAGGAGGACUUCAUGGGACUGGACACAGACAGCAGGGCCCUGUGAUCUACACGUCCGCACACCCUUCUGCUCCUUGGGGAUGAGGUGGCAGGUUUAGGUGCCUGGGCAUUGCUGUGGGCACAGCUGCCAGCACCGGGCUACACCGAGGCAGGCUCCGUUCACCUCACAUGUCACCUCCUGCUGAGCCCCCAGGCGUUAGUCAAGAUCGUUUUGGUUACUGAGACCCUCGAGUUCCCAUAUGAAUUAUAACAGCAGCUAAUCAGUUUUUGCAGAGGAGCCCGCUGGGAUUGUGAUCGAGACCACGUAGAAUAUACGGAUCACUCUGGGGAGCACUGCCAUUCCAAGAGCACUGUCUUCUGAUCCAGGAAUGUACGUGGAGUGUCUGUCCAGGUGCCCUCACAUCCAGUGGCAUCCAUCCAGACACCAACACUGACACUGGCCAUGCUCAGAACUGCCUCAGCCCUGAAGACACAAGUGACAAAUAGAAGGGAGCCGCGCCCUGUUACAGCAGGUGCUCUCACUUUGUGGGUCCUUAUGUAACUGCGUGGUGUUAAUCAGGAUCGCCCGUUCUACAUUGUGUGGCGCUGCUGCAGUGUCUCCUAGUUAUUUGUUUCUUGUAAGAUUGCUGGUGACUGAGUUAGAAGCAUGCUUCAAAGCUGUCCGUGUCCUUGCCAUCCAGAAGCAGAGCCUGGGAGCUUCCGAAUUUCUCCAGAAUGGGGUUUACAUUCAUCUUCGACAGGCUCCUCCGCUCAGAUGUAAGAAUAUCCUCUUUCGACUUCUUGAUGCAGCUCCUUAAUGAAGAUCUCGUGAAGGAAACUUAGUCAAAACCUGGGAGCAUUCCUAGGAGAGAAUUCAGCAGUGCAGCAUCCUCUCCGAGCUCUAUGAUUUGAUCGGCUUCCACCGCAAGAGCGCCUUCUUCAAGCGGGUGGCCCCCGUGCAGCGCGUGGCCCCCGGCAUCCCGGAGCCUGGCGGGAAGGCCUGCUACCGACUCCUUCUGCAGACGCUUCCUGCCUAGAAUCUGUCGCUGGAUCUGCAGGACUUCAGCAAAGGUGUUGGAACUAAAACAUUGCUUCAGUCCCAUUAACCAUGCCUGGUUUGGGCCAUGCUUUCCUGUCUCAUCAGGGUGAAUUCUGAUUCAUUUAGAACAGGGCUCAGCAGACUUUUUCUGUCAAGGGCUUGGGAGUAAGUAUUUCAGGGUCUGCAAACCUCCUGAUCUCUGGUGCAGCUGCUCAGCUCUGCUGUUCAGACGCCAGAGCAGCCGGACAUUCCACACACCCACAGAGCAUUAUUAACAGUGGUGGCUGGGGCUGGAUUCGGUGUAUGAACUGCAGUUUGUCCCCACAGCCUCCUCACUAUUGACGCCUGCACCAGAGCGUGCAUUUGUGACAAUGGGUGAACCUGCACUGACACGUCAUCAUCACCCAGAGCCCAGACUUGACACUAGGAUUUACACUUGGUGGUGUGCACUCUGUGGGUUUGGACAGAUGUGCAAUGACAUGUAUCCACCGUCACAGCAUCAUACAGAGUAGUCUGUCUUAGUGACCUUAAAAUGCUCUGUGCUGCACCUCAUUCAUUGCUCCUUCCCCUCUAGCCUCUGACAGCCACUGAUCUUUUAGUCUCUGUGGUUUUCCCUUUCCCAGAACACCAUACAGUUGGAAUCAGACAGUUGCGGAACCUUCCCAGAUUGGCUUCUUUCACUUAGUAAUAAGCAUUUAAGGUUCCUCCAUGUCUUUCCAUGCCUUGAUAACUCAUUUCAUUUUAGCACCAAAUAAUAGUCCAUUUUCUGGCUGGACCACAGUUUAUCCAUUCACCUACUGAAGAACAGCUUAGUUGCUUCUGAGUUCUGGUGAUUAUGAAUAAAGCUGCUAUGAACAUCUGUAUGCAGUUUUGUGUGUGGACAUAAGUUUCCAUUUCGUCGAGUAAACACCAAGGAGCACAGUAGCCGGAUCAUAUGUUAGGAGUACGUUUAGUUUUGUAAAAAAUUGCCAGACCGUCUUCCAAAGUAUCUGGGCCCUUUUACAUUCCCACCAGCAAUGCAUGAGAAUUCCUGACGCUCCACAUCCUCACCAGCAUUCGGUGCUGUCAGUGUUCUGCGUUUUGGCAGUUCUGACAGGUGUGCAGUGGUACCUCGCUGUUUCAGUCUGCAUCCCCUUGAUGACAGAUGCUGUGGAGCAUCUAUCCAUAGACUUCUUUGGCAUCUAGAUUUCUUCUUCGAUGAGGUCUGUGUUCAGGCAUUUUGCUCAUUUUUUAAUCAGGUUGUUCAUCCUUCUUGUUGAGUUUAAAGAGAUUUUGGUAUAUUCUGGAUAUCAGCCCUUUAUCAAUGUGUCCCUGCCCUUCACCUGCAGCACUGGAGUUGUCCUUUGGGUCUCAGUGGAGUGUCAGCUCUUCAAAGAGGUUUCCUGUCUUCCCUCAGCCUAAAUACUGUCCUUGUAUUUUUCACUUUCAUUGACUCAUUUUGUUCUUUUUAAAUAGCAUUUCCCAUAAUUUGUAAGUACAUUAAAAAAAAGGGCAAUGAUUGAACACCACCUCCCCCACCAGGCCGUGUGCCCUGUGAGACCAGAGGCCCUGUCCCCACUCACCGUUUCCCAUGACAGCACAUGGCACAUGUCCAUGUAAAAGUGUGUAACGUGGGGCCAAACCUGAUGAGCAGCUAUGAUGACAUAUUUUGGCUACCAUUUAUUGAGUAGACUUUGUUUCUGAUGUUAAUUAUUAAAUCACAUGAAUGAAACAUGUUUGUUUUGAAAAAUAAAACAACAAAGCACACCUCCAUUUGAUUGGUACUUUCUACUUAGCCUUCUGACCCAGGAGGGGAUGUUCACCAUCAUUUUGUGGAGGAGGUUGGGGAGGUAAAGUAAGAGAGUGAGAUCAAAUAAAGUAAAAAUGAUAACUAUCAGUUGGCUUUAUUUUCACUAAGACAUAAAAGUUACUUUAAACCCUA
This is a long non-coding RNA of Camelus dromedarius (Arabian camel), 4405 nucleotides long. RefSeq lists it as uncharacterized. The record is from RefSeq and is a predicted model, not a curated record. The transcript is spliced from 11 exons. NCBI's taxonomy places the organism in Eukaryota, Metazoa, Chordata, Mammalia, Artiodactyla, Camelidae.